Molecule: ribosomal RNA, 738 nt
Filed under: uncultured bacterium
Lineage: Bacteria
Description: bacterial SSU rRNA
Rfam family: Bacterial small subunit ribosomal RNA
Source: RNAcentral
UUGGCGGGCCGGCGAAUUCGCCCUUAUUAGAUACCCUGGGUAGUCCACGCAGUAAACGAUGAAUGCCGGCUGUUUGGGUUAAAUGAGACCUGAGCGGCGAAGCGAAAGCGAUAAGCAUUCCACCUGGGGAGUACGCCGGCAACGGUGAAACUCAAAGGAAUUGACGGGGGCCCGCACAAGCGGAGGAACAUGUGGUUUAAUUCGAUGAUACGCGAGGAACCUUACCCGGGCUCAAACGGCGGAGGACAGGCGCAGAGACGUGCCCUCCUUCGGGUCUCCGCCGAGGUGCUGCAUGGUUGUCGUCAGCUCGUGCCGUGAGGUGUCGGCUUAAGUGCCAUAACGAGCGCAACCCCCAUCGCCAGUUGCCAACAGGUAAAGCUGGGAACUCUGGCGAGACUGCCGGCGCAAGCUGCGAGGAAGGCGGGGAUGACGUCAAAUCAGCACGGCCCUUACGUCCGGGGCGACACACGUGUUACGAUGGCAGGUACAGCGGGAAGCCACCGGGCGACCGGGAGCAGAACCCGAAAACCUGUCUCAGUUCGGAUUGGAGUCUGCAACUCGACUCCAUGAAGCUGGAUUCGCUAGUAAUCGCGCAUCAGCCACGGCGCGGUGAAUACGUUCCCGGGCCUUGUACACACCGCCCGUCAAGCCAUGGGAGUCGGGAGUGCCUGAAGUACGUGACCGCAAGGAGCGUCCUAAGGCAAAACUGAUGACUGGGCUAAGUCGUAACAAGGUACC